Long non-coding RNA from Perognathus longimembris pacificus (Pacific pocket mouse), 238 nucleotides. RefSeq lists it as uncharacterized. NCBI's taxonomy places the organism in Eukaryota, Metazoa, Chordata, Mammalia, Rodentia, Heteromyidae. The transcript is spliced from 4 exons. The record is from RefSeq and is a predicted model, not a curated record.
CCGCCCUUAGAUGCGACCUGCCGGGACCCCACCGAGGCCCCAGGACUGAGCGCUGCGGAGCCUUUCUCGCUGCCCGGAAGAAAGAAGGUGCGGCCGGACGGGAAGCCUGGAGAGAGAAGUCAAAUAAACAUCGACAAUCCUAGUAAGAAUUAUUUCUUCAUUUGGUAACUGUCUCUGCAAUAUAGAACAGAUGAAAAUUGUACUUUUUCGUCAGUAGGAGAAAGUUGCGAGCUUAGUG